This is a small nucleolar RNA of Ornithorhynchus anatinus (platypus), 138 nucleotides long. Lineage: Eukaryota; Metazoa; Chordata; Mammalia; Monotremata; Ornithorhynchidae. The record is from RefSeq and is a predicted model, not a curated record.
UGCCUCUCAGGGUCGCACCUGGGGAGUUUCCAGUACUCCAGCAGUCUCGACUAUGGGAGGAAGAGUCAAGAAGAGGCCUACCCAUUCUAUUCCUAGCUUGGCCAGUGGCUAGCGAGUAGAAGGCAAUCUACGACAAGU